Molecule: long non-coding RNA, 352 nt
Filed under: Nicotiana benthamiana
Lineage: Eukaryota; Viridiplantae; Streptophyta; Magnoliopsida; Solanales; Solanaceae
Description: long non-coding RNA (NBEN_LNC027359)
Source: RNAcentral
AUGUAAAUAAGCUCUCAUCAUGACACCAAAGCAUAAGAUUGUAUUGAAUCUUACUCCUUCUUAAUAUUUCUCUAUCCAUUGGGUAUAUUUUGUAAUAUUUGUUUUCAUUACGAUAAUAUCAGUCAAAUUAAUUUACCUAUAGAAAAAGGACAUUUUUCAUUAUGAUAAUAUCAGUCAAAUUAAUUUACCAAUAGAAAAAGGACAUGCUAUGUAUAAUAAGGAACCAUAUUCCUUGUGUUUUGAAAAAAAACAAAGGCUAUGCAGAUAUGAGUUCUUGUCAUUGUGAAAUAGGUAUGGUAGUAGACUUAAGAAUAAGUAGGAAACCUGAUCGGAUUAGAAUCCCAUGCAAUUA